This 77-nucleotide transfer RNA is filed under the name Rickettsiales bacterium. RNAcentral's name for it is "tRNA-Ala". It matches the Rfam family "tRNA". Rfam says of the family: Transfer RNA (tRNA) molecules are approximately 80 nucleotides in length. Their secondary structure includes four short double-helical elements and three loops (D, anti-codon, and T loops). Further hydrogen bonds mediate the characteristic L-shaped molecular structure. tRNAs have two regions of fundamental functional importance: the anti-codon, which is responsible for specific mRNA codon recognition, and the 3' end, to which the tRNAs corresponding amino acid is attached (by aminoacyl-tRNA synthetases). tRNAs cope with the degeneracy of the genetic code in two manners: having more than one tRNA (with a specific anti-codon) for a particular amino acid; and 'wobble' base-pairing, i.e. permitting non-standard base-pairing at the 3rd anti-codon position. The record is from RNAcentral. Lineage: Bacteria; Pseudomonadati; Pseudomonadota; Alphaproteobacteria; Rickettsiales.
GGGGGUGUAGCUCAGCUGGCUAGAGUAUUUGCAUGGCAUGCAAAGGGUCGUGGGUUCGACUCCCAUCACCUCCACCA